UACGUAGGGGGCAAGCGUUGUCCGGAUUUAUUGGGCGUAAAGAGCGUGUAGGCGGCUAGAUAGGUCCGUUGUGAAAACUCGAGGCUCAACCUCGAGACGUCGGUUGAAACCGUUUGGCUAGAGUCCGGAAGAGGAGAGUGGAAUUCCCGGUGUAGCGGUGAAAUGCGCAGAUAUCGGGAAGAACACCCGUGGCGAAGGCGGCUCUCUGGGACGGUACUGACGCUGAGACGCGAAAGCGUGGGGAGCGAGCAGG
This 253-nucleotide ribosomal RNA is filed under the name uncultured bacterium. RNAcentral's name for it is "partial 16S ribosomal RNA". It matches the Rfam family "Bacterial small subunit ribosomal RNA", at positions 524 to 776 of the family's 1533-position model. The record is from RNAcentral.